This 253-nucleotide ribosomal RNA is filed under the name uncultured bacterium. RNAcentral's name for it is "partial 16S ribosomal RNA". It matches the Rfam family "Bacterial small subunit ribosomal RNA", at positions 524 to 776 of the family's 1533-position model. The record is from RNAcentral.
UACGUAGGGGGCAAGCGUUGUCCGGAUUUAUUGGGCGUAAAGAGCGUGUAGGCGGCUUUACAGGUCCGUUGUGAAAACUCGAGGCUCAACCUCGAGACGCCGGUGGAAACCGUAAGGCUAGAGUCCGGAAGAGGAGAGUGGAAUUCCUGGUGUAGCGGUGAAAUGCGCAGAUAUCAGGAAGAACACCCGUGGCGAAGGCGGCUCUCUGGGACGGUACUGACACUGAGACGCGAAAGCGUGGGGAGCGAACAGG